AGCAAUAGUCGCGAAGUGAUUGAUCCUACACUGUCGAGAAAAGCUUCUAGGUAGAGACACAUCGCCCGUACCAAAACCGACACAGGUAGGCGGGGAGAGAAUCCUAAGGUGCGCGGGAAAACCCUCGUUAAGGAACUCGGCAAAAUGCCUCCGUAACUUCGGGAAAAGGAGGACUCAU
Molecule: ribosomal RNA, 178 nt
Filed under: Ctenophora environmental sample
Lineage: Eukaryota; Metazoa; Ctenophora
Description: partial Bacterial large subunit ribosomal RNA
Rfam family: Bacterial large subunit ribosomal RNA
Source: RNAcentral